GAUGAAAGAACGUAGCGAAAUGCGAUAAGUAGUGUGAAUUGCAGAAUUCAGUGAAUCAUCGAAUCUUUGAACGCACAUUGCGCCCCAUGGUAUUCCGUGGGGCAUGCCUGUUCGAGCGUCAUUUACCCCCUCAAGCUCCGCUUGGUGUUGGGCGUCUGUCCCGCUUCGCGCGCGGACUCGCCCCAAAGGUAUUGGCAGCGGUCGUGCCAGCUUCUCGCGCAGCACAUUGCGCUUCUCGAGGCACCGGUGGGCCCGCGUCCAUCAAGCUCACCCCCCCAGUUUGACCUCGGAUCAGGUAGGGAUACCCGCUGAACUUAAGCAUAUCAAUAAGCGGAGGA
Molecule: unclassified non-coding RNA, 338 nt
Filed under: soil metagenome
Description: partial contains 5.8S ribosomal RNA, internal transcribed spacer 2, and large subunit ribosomal RNA
Rfam family: 5.8S ribosomal RNA (bases 6-121)
Source: RNAcentral